Molecule: microRNA, 22 nt
Filed under: Octopus vulgaris (common octopus)
Lineage: Eukaryota; Metazoa; Mollusca; Cephalopoda; Octopoda; Octopodidae
Also listed under: 1 other name
Description: Ovu-Mir-12511_3p (mature (guide))
Source: RNAcentral
ACCACGGUGUAUAAUUCAGUAA